This 450-nucleotide ribosomal RNA is filed under the name uncultured bacterium. RNAcentral's name for it is "partial 16S ribosomal RNA". It matches the Rfam family "Bacterial small subunit ribosomal RNA", at positions 354 to 796 of the family's 1533-position model. The record is from RNAcentral.
GUGGGGAAUAUUCCGCAAUGGACGAAAGUCUGACGGAGCAACGCCGCGUGAGUGAUGAAGGUUUUCGGACUGUAAAGCUCUGUUGUUUGGGACGAAAGUGCCUGUUGCGAACAGUUACGGGUAUUGACGGUACUAAACGAGGAAGCCACGGCUAACUACGUGCCAGCAGCCGCGGUAAUACGUAGGUGGCAAGCGUUGUCCGGAAUUAUUGGGCGGAAAGAGCAUGUAGGCGGGAAUCUAAGUCUGUUGUUAAAAUGCGGGGCUCAACCCCGUAUUGCGAUGGAAACUGGGUUUCUUGAGUGCAGGAGAGGAAAGGGGAAUUCCCAGUGUAGCGGUGAAAUGCGUAGAUAUUGGGAGGAACACCAGUGGCGAAGGCGCCUUUCUGGACUGUGUCUGACGCUGAGAUGCGAAAGCCAGGGUAGCGAACGGGAUUAGAUACCCGGGUAGUCC